Molecule: long non-coding RNA, 370 nt
Organism: Oncorhynchus keta (chum salmon)
Lineage: Eukaryota; Metazoa; Chordata; Actinopteri; Salmoniformes; Salmonidae
Exons: 3
Source: RefSeq, a predicted model, not a curated record
GAACCUUGGAGCCACAGCCAGGUCCAGCAGCACUCCAACCAACGGUCAUAGAACCUUGGAGCCACAGCCAGGGCCAGCAGCACUCCAACCAACGGCCAGAGAACCUUGGAGCCACAGCCAGGGCCAGCAGCACUCCAACCAACGGUCAUAGAACCUUGGAGCCACAGCCAGGGCCAGCAGCACUCCAACCAACGGUCAUAGAACCUUGGAGCCACAGCCAGGGCCAGCAGCACUCCAACCAACGGUCAUAGAACCUUGGAGCCACAGCCAGGGCCAGCAGCACUCCAACCAACGGUCAUAGAACCUUGGAGCCACAGCCAGGGCCAGCAGCACUCCAACCAACGGCCAGAGAACCUUGGAGCCACAGCCU